This 237-nucleotide ribosomal RNA is filed under the name uncultured bacterium. Its description in RNAcentral is "partial 16S ribosomal RNA". It matches the Rfam family "Bacterial small subunit ribosomal RNA", at positions 540 to 776 of the family's 1533-position model. The record is from RNAcentral.
GUUGUCCGGAUUUACUGGGCGUAAAGGGCGUGCAGGCGGUCUGUUAAGUGCAGGGUGAAAGCUCCCGGCUCAACUGGGAGGGGUCAUUCGAUACUGGCGGGCUCGAGGCCGGUAGGGGGAAGUGGAAUUCCCGGUGUAGUGGUGGAAUGCGUAGAUAUCGGGAGGAACACCAGUGGCGAAGGCGGCUUCCUGGACCGGUUCUGACACUGAGGAGCGAAAGCGUGGGGAGCGAUCCGG